GGGCCCGUUGGUCAAGCGGUUAAGACACCGCCCUUUCACGGCGGUAACACGGGUUCGAAUCCCGUACGGGUCA
RNAcentral lists this transfer RNA (73 nucleotides) under Bacillus atrophaeus UCMB-5137. RNAcentral describes it as "tRNA-Glu". It matches the Rfam family "tRNA". Rfam says of the family: Transfer RNA (tRNA) molecules are approximately 80 nucleotides in length. Their secondary structure includes four short double-helical elements and three loops (D, anti-codon, and T loops). Lineage: Bacteria; Bacillati; Bacillota; Bacilli; Caryophanales; Bacillaceae. The record is from RNAcentral.